AUUGAACGCUGGCGGCAGGCCUAACACAUGCAAGUCGAGCGGAUGAGGGGAGCUUGCUUCUGGAUUCAGCGGGGGACGGGUGGGUAAUGCCUAGGAAUCUGCCUGGUAGUGGGGGAUAACGUACGGAAAGGGGCGCUAUUACAGUAUACGAUCUGAGGGAGAAAGAGGGGGAUCUUGGGACCUACAGCUAUUUGAUGAGCCUAGGUCGGAUUAGCUAGUUGGUGGGGUAAAGGCCUACCAAGGCGACGAUCCGGAACUGGUUUGAGAGGAUGAUCAGUCACACUGGAACUGAGACACGGUCCAGACUCCUACGGGAGGCAGCAGUGGGGAAUAUUGGACAAUGGGCGAAAGCCUGAUCCAGCCAUGCCGCGUGUGUGAAGAAGGUCUUCGGAUUGUAAAGCACUUUAAGUUGGGAGGAAGGGCAGUAAGUUAAUACCUUGCUGUUUUGACGGUACCAACAGAAUAAGCACCGGCUAACUUCGUG
This 484-nucleotide ribosomal RNA is filed under the name uncultured bacterium. Its description in RNAcentral is "partial 16S ribosomal RNA". It matches the Rfam family "Bacterial small subunit ribosomal RNA", at positions 30 to 507 of the family's 1533-position model. The record is from RNAcentral.